This 261-nucleotide unclassified non-coding RNA is filed under the name plant metagenome. RNAcentral's name for it is "partial contains small subunit ribosomal RNA and internal transcribed spacer 1". The record is from RNAcentral.
AAUGUCGUAUCAGGUUGCGUCAGGUAGGACCGCUGCGGAAGGAUCAUUACAAAUAAAGCCGGUGGAGGUGGGGUCUUGAUCUGUAAGUGGUAGAGCGAACAGUCCGGCUGCCUCCCGAAAUGUCUUACAUGCCCCCCCACAGCCUGAAGGCCGAAUUACGACCCUUGAUUAUCUACACUUGUUGCUUGGGGUGCUCAAGUGCCCCAGAGGACCCAAAUCUCUUGCAUUUAGUGACGUCUGAGUACUAUAUAAUAUUUAAAA